AUAAUAUGGCUAAAUUAUAAUUUAAUUUCGAAUUAAAUUUUUUUAUUAGU
RNAcentral lists this transfer RNA (50 nucleotides) under Panonychus ulmi (European red spider mite). RNAcentral's name for it is "tRNA-Arg". The record is from RNAcentral. Lineage: Eukaryota; Metazoa; Arthropoda; Arachnida; Trombidiformes; Tetranychidae.